CGUGUGUGAAGAAGGCCUUUUGGUUGUAAAGCACUUUAAGCGAGGAGGAGGCUACCGAGAUUAAUACUCUUGGAUAGUGGACGUUACUCGCAGAAUAAGCACCGGCUAACUCUGUGCCAGCAGCCGCGGUAAUACAGAGGGUGCAAGCGUUAAUCGGAUUUACUGGGCGUAAAGCGCGCGUAGGUGGCCAAUUAAGUCAAAUGUGAAAUCCCCGAGCUUAACUUGGGAAUUGCAUUCGAUACUGGUUGGCUAGAGUAUGGGAGAGGAUGGUAGAAUUCCAGGUGUAGCGGUGAAAUGCGUAGAGAUCUGGAGGAAUACCGAUGGCGAAGGCAGCCAUCUGGCCUAAUACUGACACUGAGGUGCGAAAGCAUGGGGAGCAAACAGGAUUAGAUACCCUGGUAGUCCAUGCCGUAAACGAUGUCUACUAGCCGUUGGGGCCUUUGAGGCUUUAGUGGCGCAGCUAACGCGAUAAGUAGACCGCCUGGGGAGUACGGUCGCAAGACUAAAACUCAAAUGAAUUGACGGGGGCCCGCACAAGCGGUGGAGCAUGUGGUUUAAUUCGAUGCAACGCGAAGAACCUUACCUGGUCUUGACAUAGUAAGAACUUUCCAGAGAUGGAUUGGUGCCUUCGGGAACUUACAUACAGGUGCUGCAUGGCUGUCGUCAGCUCGUGUCGUGAGAUGUUGGGUUAAGUCCCGCAACGAGCGCAACCCUUUUCCUUAUUUGCCAGCGGGUUAAGCCGGGAACUUUAAGGAUACUGCCAGUGACAAACUGGAGGAAGGCGGGGACGACGUCAAGUCAUCAUGGCCCUUACGACCAGGGCUACACACGUGCUACAAUGGUCGGUACAAAGGGUUGCUACCUCGCGAGAGGAUGCUAAUCUCAAAA
RNAcentral lists this ribosomal RNA (888 nucleotides) under gamma proteobacterium WD361. RNAcentral's name for it is "bacterial SSU rRNA". It matches the Rfam family "Bacterial small subunit ribosomal RNA", at positions 400 to 1279 of the family's 1533-position model. The record is from RNAcentral. Lineage: Bacteria; Pseudomonadati; Pseudomonadota; Gammaproteobacteria.